UGCGGUGUAGCUCAAUGGUAGAGCUUCGGCCCAGCAUUGCAGGAGGUUCUGGGUUCCACCCCCAGCACCGCAA
This 73-nucleotide transfer RNA is filed under the name Marmota monax (woodchuck). It matches the Rfam family "tRNA". From Rfam's summary of the family: Transfer RNA (tRNA) molecules are approximately 80 nucleotides in length. Their secondary structure includes four short double-helical elements and three loops (D, anti-codon, and T loops). Further hydrogen bonds mediate the characteristic L-shaped molecular structure. tRNAs have two regions of fundamental functional importance: the anti-codon, which is responsible for specific mRNA codon recognition, and the 3' end, to which the tRNAs corresponding amino acid is attached (by aminoacyl-tRNA synthetases). tRNAs cope with the degeneracy of the genetic code in two manners: having more than one tRNA (with a specific anti-codon) for a particular amino acid; and 'wobble' base-pairing, i.e. permitting non-standard base-pairing at the 3rd anti-codon position. The record is from Rfam by way of RNAcentral. Lineage: Eukaryota; Metazoa; Chordata; Mammalia; Rodentia; Sciuridae.